RNAcentral lists this ribosomal RNA (353 nucleotides) under Streptomyces viridochromogenes. RNAcentral describes it as "bacterial LSU rRNA". It matches the Rfam family "Bacterial large subunit ribosomal RNA", at positions 1 to 313 of the family's 2925-position model. The record is from RNAcentral. Lineage: Bacteria; Bacillati; Actinomycetota; Actinomycetes; Kitasatosporales; Streptomycetaceae.
ACAGUGGACGCGAGCAUCUGUGGCCAAGUUUUUAAGGGCGCACGGUGGAUGCCUUGGCACCAGGAACCGAUGAAGGACGUGGGAGGCCACGAUAGUCCCCGGGGAGCCGUCAACCAGGCUUUGAUCCGGGGGUUUCCGAAUGGGGAAACCCGGCAGUCGUCAUGGGCUGUCACCCAUGCCUGAACACAUAGGGCAUGUGGAGGGAACGAGGGGAAGUGAAACAUCUCAGUACCCUCAGGAAGAGAAAACAACCGUGAUUCCGGGAGUAGUGGCGAGCGAAACCGGAUGAGGCCAAACCGUAUGCGUGUGAUACCCGGCAGGGGUUGCGCAUGCGGGGUUGUGGGAUCUCUCUU